This 286-nucleotide unclassified non-coding RNA is filed under the name Hevea brasiliensis (rubber tree). Lineage: Eukaryota; Viridiplantae; Streptophyta; Magnoliopsida; Malpighiales; Euphorbiaceae. The record is from RNAcentral.
GUUACGGGAACUGACACGACUACGUGUGCUGGAUUUGAGCUAUAACCGGAUAGUCCGAAUUGGACAUGGCUUGGCUUCUUGCUCAUCAUUGAAGGAGUUGUAUUUAGCUGGAAAUAAAAUUAGUGAGGUAGAGGGUCUUCACCGACUCUUAAAAUUGUGCAUACUCGACUUGCGCUUUAACAAGAUCUCAACAACCAAGAGUCUUGGCCAACUCGCUGCCAAUUACAAUUCUUUGCAAGCAAUCAGCUUGGAAGGCAACCCAGCACAGAAGAAUGUUGGAGACGAC